This 1374-nucleotide ribosomal RNA is filed under the name Brenneria salicis. RNAcentral describes it as "bacterial SSU rRNA". It matches the Rfam family "Bacterial small subunit ribosomal RNA", at positions 64 to 1434 of the family's 1533-position model. Lineage: Bacteria; Pseudomonadati; Pseudomonadota; Gammaproteobacteria; Enterobacterales; Pectobacteriaceae. The record is from RNAcentral.
UAGCACAGAGGAGCUUGCUCCUUGGGUGACGAGCGGCGGACGGGUGAGUAAAGUCUGGGGAUCUGCCUGAUGGAGGGGGAUAACUACUGGAAACGGUAGCUAAUACCGCAUGACGUCUUCGGACCAAAGUGGGGGACCUUCGGGCCUCACGCCAUGAGAUGAACCCAGAUGGGAUUAGCUGGUAGGUGAGGUAACGGCUCACCUAGGCGACGAUCCCUAGCUGGUCUGAGAGGAUGACCAGCCACACUGGAACUGAGACACGGUCCAGACUCCUACGGGAGGCAGCAGUGGGGAAUAUUGCACAAUGGGGGAAACCCUGAUGCAGCCAUGCCGCGUGUGUGAAGAAGGCCUUCGGGUUGUAAAGCACUUUCAGCGGGGAGGAAGGCAAUAAACUUAAUAAGUUUGUUGAUUGACGUUACCCGCAGAAGAAGCACCGGCUAACUCCGUGCCAGCAGCCGCGGUAAUACGGAGGGUGCAAGCGUUAAUCGGAAUGACUGGGCGUAAAGCGCACGCAGGCGGUCUGUUAAGUUGGAUGUGAAAUCCCCGGGCUCAACCCGGGAACAGCAUUCAAAACUGACAGGCUAGAGUCUCGUAGAGGGGGGUAGAAUUCCAGGUGUAGCGGUGAAAUGCGUAGAGAUCUGGAGGAAUACCGGUGGCGAAGGCGGCCCCCUGGACGAAGACUGACGCUCAGGUGCGAAAGCGUGGGGAGCAAACAGGAUUAGAUACCCUGGUAGUCCACGCCGUAAACGAUGUCGACUUGGAGGCUGUGGUCUUGAACCGUGGCUUCCGGAGCUAACGCGUUAAGUCGACCGCCUGGGGAGUACGGCCGCAAGGUUAAAACUCAAAUGAAUUGACGGGGGCCCGCACAAGCGGUGGAGCAUGUGGUUUAAUUCGAUGCAACGCGAAGAACCUUACCUACUCUUGACAUCCAGAGAAGACUGUAGAGAUACGGUUGUGCCUUCGGGAGCUCUGAGACAGGUGCUGCAUGGCUGUCGUCAGCUCGUGUUGUGAAAUGUUGGGUUAAGUCCCGCAACGAGCGCAACCCUUAUCCUUUGUUGCCAGCGAUACGGUCGGGAACUCAAAGGAGACUGCCGGUGAUAAACCGGAGGAAGGUGGGGAUGACGUCAAGUCAUCAUGGCCCUUACGAGUAGGGCUACACACGUGCUACAAUGGCGCAUACAAAGAGAAGCGAGCCUGCGAGGGUGAGCGGACCUCAUAAAGUGCGUCGUAGUCCGGAUUGGAGUCUGCAACUCGACUCCAUGAAGUCGGAAUCGCUAGUAAUCGUAGAUCAGAAUGCUACGGUGAAUACGUUCCCGGGCCUUGUACACACCGCCCGUCACACCAUGGGAGUGGGUUGCAAAAGAAGUAGGUAGC